Non-coding RNA from Salmo salar (Atlantic salmon), 54 nucleotides. NCBI's taxonomy places the organism in Eukaryota, Metazoa, Chordata, Actinopteri, Salmoniformes, Salmonidae. The record is from Rfam.
AAUGCACCAAUUUGUAAGUCGCUCUGGAUAACAGCGUCUGCUAAAUGACGUAAA